AUUUCUGCUCUAAGUAAGUGAUGAUGCACACCCUAACCAAUCAUGAAUCAUCUGAUUUUUAUAUAUCUAGAUAAUGAGUAUUGAACACUUACAGAGCUACACAAAUCCACAGGCAUCUGGAUUAACAGUAUUGUCCAAAACCAUGAAAUUAACAACUGGAAUUAUGCAGGGAUCUAAUCAAGAAAGUACAAGGAUUCUUAAAAGGCGUUUUCCUCAAAUUUCUACAAGUAUUGAGAUUUACAUUAACAUAUCGCAGCAAGCCUGUCAAAGCUAGGUAACAUGGGACAUUGCUG
RNAcentral lists this long non-coding RNA (293 nucleotides) under Homo sapiens (human). RNAcentral's name for it is "PREDICTED lncRNA (TCONS_00269412)". Lineage: Eukaryota; Metazoa; Chordata; Mammalia; Primates; Hominidae. The record is from RNAcentral.